GACCUCAAAUCAGGUAGGGAUACCCGCUGAACUUAAGCAUAUCAAUAAGCGGAGGAAAAGAAACCAACAGGGAUUGCCCCAGUAACGGCGAGUGAAGCGGCAAAAGCUCAGAUUUGAAAUCUGGUGUCAUCUUGGCAUCCGAGUUGUAAUCUGUAGAGGAGUUUUUAGGAGUAUUGCUUUGGUUAAAGUUCCUUGGGAAAGGGCAUCAUAGAGGGUGAGAAUCCUGUUUAUGACCUUUGCACAUCUCUAUUAUAAAUCU
Molecule: ribosomal RNA, 259 nt
Filed under: Pachyphlodes annagardnerae
Lineage: Eukaryota; Fungi; Ascomycota; Pezizomycetes; Pezizales; Pezizaceae
Description: partial 25S ribosomal RNA
Rfam family: Eukaryotic large subunit ribosomal RNA
Source: RNAcentral